This 491-nucleotide ribosomal RNA is filed under the name uncultured bacterium. RNAcentral's name for it is "partial 16S ribosomal RNA". It matches the Rfam family "Bacterial small subunit ribosomal RNA", at positions 29 to 507 of the family's 1533-position model. The record is from RNAcentral.
AUGCACGCUAGCUACAGGCUUAACCCAUGCCAGUCGAGGGGAAACGACAUCGAAAGCUUGCUUUUGAUGGGCGUCGACCGGCGCACGGGUGAGUAACGCGUAUCCAACCUGCCCAUCACUUGGGAAUAACCUUGCGAAAGUAAGACUAAUACCCAAUGAUAUCCCACGAAGGCAUCGGAAUGGGAUUAAAGAUUUAUCGGUGAUGGAUGGGGAUGCGUCUGAUUAGCUUGUUGGCGGGGUAACGGCCCACCAAGGCAACGAUCAGUAGGGGUUCUGAGAGGAAGGUCCCCCACAUUGGAACUGAGACACGGUCCAAACUCCUACGGGAGGCAGCAGUGAGGAAUAGUGGUCAAUGGGCGAGAGCCUGAACCAGCCAAGUAGCGUGCAGGAAGACGGCCCUAUGGGUUGUAAACUGCUUUUAUAAGGGAAUAAAGUGGGUCACGUGUGACUUUUUGCAUGUACCUUAUGAAUAAGGACCGGCUAAUUCCGUG